This 301-nucleotide ribosomal RNA is filed under the name uncultured bacterium. Its description in RNAcentral is "partial 16S ribosomal RNA". It matches the Rfam family "Bacterial small subunit ribosomal RNA", at positions 509 to 807 of the family's 1533-position model. The record is from RNAcentral.
CAGUAGCCGCGGGAAUACGUAGGGUGCGAGCGUUAAUCGGAAUUACUGGGCGUAAAGCGUGCGCAGGCGGUUCGUUAAGACAGAUGUGAAAUCCCCGGGCUUAACCUGGGAACUGCAUUUGUGACUGGCGAGCUAGAGUAUGGCAGAGGGGGGUAGAAUUCCACGUGUAGCAGUGAAAUGCGUAGAGAUGUGGAGGAAUACCGAUGGCGGAGGCAGCCCCCUGGGCCAAUACUGACGCUCAUGCACGAAAGCGUGGGGAGCAAACAGGAUUAGAUACCCGGGUAGUCCCUGUCUCUUAUAC